This is a long non-coding RNA of Oncorhynchus tshawytscha (Chinook salmon), 1971 nucleotides long. The record is from Ensembl. Lineage: Eukaryota; Metazoa; Chordata; Actinopteri; Salmoniformes; Salmonidae.
GAUGUGACCAACCGUCCACUCACUGAGUUCAUGGCUCCCUGUAUUGACUCCCUCCCACCGCUGGCUUUCACCAAUCGGAGGCCUAUACCAACCAUGUUACGUCCCCCCUCUCAAUUGGCCAUACGCGCUCAGGAUGCACAGCGGUUCAUUGUAUUUUCAUACUUUGUCCCUGCUGAGUGCCCAGUUGCCACAGAGGCCACAGCAGAUGUAUCUACUGGUAAAAGAGAGGACUUAUUGACAGAUACACAUCUUUCCUCAAUGCUGCAUCGAUACCUGCCACACUUCUUUAACGAUGACUCCAUUCCACCACAGCAGACAGUAGAGGGAACCACUGAGCUCUCAGUUGCUCCAGUGGCAAUAUCUAAUAUAAAGGAAGAGGACAGAUUCUAUCCUUUCUCCCUCCCACCACUGGCUCAGCGGUUCGUUGGCAAUUCAUUAAUUGUCCCAGGAACCUCCCAGCCUGCUGUUUCAGCCACAGAGUGCCGAGUUGCCAAAGAGGCCACUGCAGACACAGCCACUGUCAAGAGAGAGAACCGAUGGGCAGCCAGAAGUCUUCCUUCAGUGCUGCCUCCAUGCCUGCCACCAGUCUUUGACGAUGACUUCAAGCCUACAGAGCAGACAGUAGAGGAUGCCUAUGAGGUCUCAGGUGCUACAGAGAACACUUCAGGCACAGCUACUGUUGAUGGAGUGGACAGAUCAACAGCUAAAUGCCCUGUCCCAAUGCUGCCUCCAAGUCUGCCACCUGUCUUUGACAAUGACUACAAACUGCCAGAGGAGGCAGUAGAGGGAACCAACAAGUGUCCAGUCGCCAGUGAAUCUGUCGCUUCCGUGUCCGCUGUCCUCCAAGAGGAGUUUUCAGCUGAUAAGAGUCUUCCUGCACCCGCAGCACUGCCUCUAUGGCUGCCCUGCACCCACAGCAUUGACCACAAACAGCUAUGGGAGAAAGUUGAGGACAACACAGAGUUCUCAGUAGACAAAGAAGCAACUGUUGCCAUUUACACUUGGGAAGAUAAAAGUCCUUCAGUUCUGCCAUGCAUCCACAACAACAACGACCACCAACUGCCAGAGGAGACAGUUGAGGACAACACAGAGUGCUCAGUUGACACCGAGGCAAGUGCAGUUGCAUCCACUGUUAAGAGAGAGGAAUUGACUUGUGAUAAAAGCCCUGUCCGAGCAAUUCCUCCAAUCCUGGGAUGCAUCCAUGACAAGGACCACAAGGAGGAGGUGAGACAGAUGGAGGGAUUGAAGCGUGAGGCGGACUGUGCCCAUUCCAAGAGCUCCAAUGGGAUGCCUUCAUCAGAGAGAGCAGAGACCAUCCUUGGAAGAGUGGGCUUUCUGGUCAUGAACCACAUGCAGAAAAUCCCAUUUUUGAAGAUGAAGGAAAAAGAGAAAAAUAAGAAACUGCAUAAGAAGUUGAAAGAUGACGAGAAAGAGAGAAAGGAGAAGAAAAACAAGGAGGAGGAGAACAAAAAGAGGGAGAAGAAAGAGAUGAAUGAGAGAGAGAAAGAGCAGAAGAAAGUCAUGAAGGCUGAGAAAAAGAGGGAGAAGUUAGAACAGAAAAAGAGAGAGAAGGAAAGAAAAGAGAAGGAAAAGGCAGAGAAAAAGAGGGAGAAGUUAGAACAGAAAAAGAGAGAGAAGGAAAGAAAAGAGAAGGAAAAGGCAGAGAAAAAGAGGUUAGAGGGGCUGAUGAAGAUGCAUAAUCACAUGAUGAAAGACAGGAUUAAGAAAGAGAAGAAGUGUUCUGAGGAGCUGAAAAAGAGAGAGAAAGCUCAAGCUGAGUUCUUGGAGAUGGAGAGAAAGAUUCAAGAAAAGGAGGAGAAGAAGAGAGAAAAGAUGAAGAAAGAGGAGAGGAAGAGACUAGAGAAGAAGAAAAAGAGGGAGCCAGCUGGAGGUGGAACUGAGAGGGUGAUAGAAGAGCAGGGAAAGGAUGAAAGCUUGAAGAUGGAUGAGUAGACUGGGUAUUUAGAGAGA